AGUGAAAUAGAACCUGAAACCCUGCACUUACAAGCUGUGGAAGCACAUUUCUUGUGUGACCGCGUACUUUUUGUAGAACGGGCCAACGAGUUACGUUAAGUAGCAAGGUUAAGCACUUAAGGUGUGGGGCCGUAGCGAAAGCGAGUUUUAACUGAGCGUUCAGUUACUUGACGUAGACCCGAAACCGGGCGACCUACCCAUGAGCAGGAUGAAGCGAAAGUAAAAUUUCGUGGAGGUCCGAACCCACGAGCG
This 252-nucleotide ribosomal RNA is filed under the name Clostridioides difficile. RNAcentral describes it as "partial 23S ribosomal RNA". It matches the Rfam family "Bacterial large subunit ribosomal RNA", at positions 537 to 788 of the family's 2925-position model. Lineage: Bacteria; Bacillati; Bacillota; Clostridia; Peptostreptococcales; Peptostreptococcaceae. The record is from RNAcentral.